RNAcentral lists this long non-coding RNA (435 nucleotides) under Setaria viridis. Its description in RNAcentral is "long non-coding RNA (SVIR_LNC005317)". Lineage: Eukaryota; Viridiplantae; Streptophyta; Magnoliopsida; Poales; Poaceae. The record is from RNAcentral.
UACCCGACCGAAAUGCAACUGGUAUACGACCGAAAAAGUUGCAACCGGGGCAUCCGAACACAUCCUUUGCACACAUAAUAAUAGUUAGCACUCAGAGUUUUUGCAAUUGGUAUGGCAACCAGAGUUGCAACUGGUGGGUUGUAGUACAUGAAGAUUCAUUCAGAUUCAGUUGCAACCUUUUUUGUCAUUAGAAAGAAAACAAAAUAAACAAUAAUAUUAUUAUGGGGGAACAUGUAGCUACACGCAUUUAAGUACAUGCAGAUUCAUUCAGAUUCAUAGUCGUUGCCAUCACUAUUUUCUUGGUAAUUAACACAGCCAGAUGUCUCAUCCUCCCCACUCUGCCUCCCCUCUUGUUCUUCAUUCAGUCCCCUCUGUAUUUUUGGCCGACCUCUCUUUCUCAGAGUCCCACCUUGUGUUUUGGCACCCCUCUUUUUC